Molecule: long non-coding RNA, 365 nt
Organism: Herpailurus yagouaroundi (jaguarundi)
Lineage: Eukaryota; Metazoa; Chordata; Mammalia; Carnivora; Felidae
Exons: 3
Source: RefSeq, a predicted model, not a curated record
CAUUCCAGGAGAGCAAAAAUUUAAGAUGUUACCUGAAGGAAUUUCUGGAGCCCUACUCUAAACCCAAUCCUGAAGAUGUCACAGAAGGGAGAAAGAAAAUGGUGGGUCUAAGAAAAUAUUGGAAAAACUGAAAAGUCCCUGGAGAGACAGAAGUUGGCUCCGUUCUGAGUCCUAGCUGAAGCAACAACCAACUAGAAAAUGCAUUAGAAAUCCAGGCAUCAUCCAGAAGAGUAUUAAAAAAUCUAAGGAAGACAUUGGAGAAUUCGUAUGCUAUUUUAGCUGGCUCUGUGAUUGCAAUCACACAAAUCACUCCAUUCCAGAGAGAUUUCACGAACAGGAGGUUUUUCCAUUUCAGCCUUUCAAGG